CAUGCAAGUCGAACGGCAGCGCGGACUUCGGUCUGGCGGCGAGUGGCGAACGGGUGAGUAAUGUAUCGGAACGUGCCCAGUAGCGGGGGAUAACUACUCGAAAGAGUGGCUAAUACCGCAUACGCCCUACGGGGGAAAGGGGGGGACCGCAAGACCUCUCACUAUUGGAGCGGCCGAUAUCGGAUUAGCUAGUUGGUGGGGUAAAGGCCUACCAAGGCGACGAUCCGUAGCUGGUUUGAGAGGACGACCAGCCACACUGGGACUGUGACACGGCCCAGACUCCUACGGGAGGCAGCAGUGGGGAAUUUUGGACAAUGGGGGCAACCCUGAUCCAGCCAUCCCGCGUGUGCGAUGAAGGCCUUCGGGUUGUAAAGCACUUUUGGCAGGGAAGAAAAGGCGCUGGUUAAUACCUGGCGCCGCUGACGGUACCUGCAGAAUAAGCACCGGCUAACUACGUGCCAGCAGCCGCGGUAAUACGUAGGGUGCAAGCGUUAAUCGGAAUUACUGGGCGUAAAGCGUGCGCAGGCGGUUCGGCAAGAAGGAUGUGAAAUCCCGGGGCUUAACCUCGGAACUGCAUUCUUAACUGCCGGGCUAGAGUAUGUCAGAGGGGGGUAGAAUUCCACGUGUAGCAGUGAAAUGCGCAGAGAUGUGGAGGAAUACCGAUGGCGAAGGCAGCCCCCUGGGAUAAUACUGACGCUCAUGCACGAAAGCGUGGGGAGCAAACAGGAUUAGAUACCCUGGUAGUCCACGCCCUAAACGAUGUCAACUAGCUGUUGGGGCCUUCGGGCCUUAGUAGCGCAGCUAACGCGUGAAGUUGACCGCCUGGGGAGUACGGUCGCAAGAUUAAAACUCAAAGGAAUUGACGGGGACCCGCACAAGCGGUGGAUGAUGUGGAUUAAUUCGAUGCAACGCGAAAAACCUUACCUACCCUUGACAUGUCUGGAAUCCUUUA
Molecule: ribosomal RNA, 952 nt
Filed under: uncultured bacterium
Lineage: Bacteria
Description: bacterial SSU rRNA
Rfam family: Bacterial small subunit ribosomal RNA
Source: RNAcentral